This 2044-nucleotide long non-coding RNA is filed under the name Marmota monax (woodchuck). Lineage: Eukaryota; Metazoa; Chordata; Mammalia; Rodentia; Sciuridae. The record is from RNAcentral.
GGGUCCUCUGUCCCGAGCCUCGGAGCGCCUCGGUAGCGCGGCCGCUGAGGAGCCGCGGUGGCAGGCUCGUACCCUCCCUGCUCGGCCCUUCUCCACCCUCCAGACUCUUCACGAGCAACCAAGUCUUGCCAACGCUUUUUCGCGGUGCCGGGGCUCUAACCCUCGGGCUCCACCGCCGACGCAGUGCGCCUCUGAGCGCCCUUCCACCUGUCCCGUCAUCUCGCCCAGAGGGGCCCAGGCCUGCGCGUGGGACCGUCUCCCAUCCCCUGCCCCACCCGACCAGGGGGAUAGGAGGUGGAAGGGGUGGCUCUGGCUCGACGCGCGCCCAGGGGCAGGUGUUGGAAAAUGGACUACCUUUCCUCCGCUGCAGCUGGUCUGCAGUCACCCGGAGAAGGUCCCUGGUUCUAAGGAGCCAGAUGGUGGCGUUGGGCUAACCCACAGCUCAAAAGACAAAAUUAACACGUUUAGCCUGAAGGUCUUAAUUGGCUUCAUGCGUGAUUCCUCGUUCUGUAAAAGAACAAGUUAUCCCACGGGCUGAGCGCAGGCUGCAGACCAGGAAGGGCUGAAGCACGCGGAAACGCGGGACUGUCCUUCAGAGCCUUGUCGCGCCCGCUUGAAGAUUUGGCUGUUUUCUCUCCUGACCUCUGGGAAGAUCGGAGUUUAGUUUUGCCUCCGUGGCCCUGAAUCUUUUUGAGCCUGACUCCAUUUUAGUCUAAACUGUUGGGCCUCGAGUGUGCAGGAGUGCACUCUAAACCAGUGGCCUCCUAUAAAUUUUAUUCACGAAUAACCCAGGCUGACCUACCACCUCCAGGUCCUUAACCCCAUUUCCAGUCCCCUUUGCCGUGGAAGGUGCCGUGUCCACAGGUCCUGGGGUUGUGACUUGCACCAAUUGUGGGGCAUCAUCCUACAAGACCUGAAAAAGCUAUAACUGGACAGAUGCACGUGGAAGGGUGUGGGAAGACAGAUGGAUGAUGACAGGGACUUGAGUCCCACUCAGCCCCCUCUCCUCUACCCACAACAGCCCUUGCUCUGGACAGUGCUGCCCUGGGGCCGAUGGUUUCUCUCCCCACACCAGGAACUUGAGGGGUUCAAUGCUCUGCAGCUCAUUGGUGGCUCAAGACCCAAAGGCCCAUACUGCAAUGCCAAGCGGGGCGAUCUGGAGAGGGGCCAGUGCGAGUGUGGAGACUGUCUAUGCCGUGGACCGUGGUUGCCCACCCAGCACAGCACGUGGUGACAUGGGUAGGAUGAGCCCUGUCAGCCUGCAGGGGGAUGCUUUUCUUUGCCAAGUUGUUCACUCCAGGGCUGGGUCAGGGUGAGCAGAGGGUGGGCCUGGAACACCUGUGUAAAGAAUGGAGGCCGAUGAGUGCUGGUGAGCAAGCAGAGCCAUCCGAACCCUGCCCUUGGCUGGCAGGAGUGUGAGAGGGGGCAGUGGUGCUGGAGACCAGGGACUAGGAAACCUGGCAGCUCACUCCUAGGCACAGACCUAGGACCUGAAAGGAGAGGCUCACACAGGCUUGUAGGAAGUCUCACGGCAGCCAAAGGGCAGUAACAGCCCAAGUGUCCACCCACACCUGGAGCAUCACUCAGGCAUGUGGAGUUGCUGCACUGGGGACAGACCCCAAGGAUACUGUGCUCAGUGGGAGAACUAGACACAAAAGGUCACAUUGCUGGGUGUGAUGGCAUGGUCCUGUCAUCCCAGUGACUCAGGAGGAUCUCAAGUUUGAGAUCAGCCUGGGCAACUUCACCAGACUGUCUCAAAAUAAAAAGGGCUGAGGAUGUAGCUAUUAUGGUUCGGAGGUGAGGUGUUCACCAAAAGCUCACUGCAAGGUUUGGAGGAGAAAUGAUUGGGCUAUAGCCCUGACCUAAUCAGUGUAUUGAUCCCUGAUGGGAUUAACUGAGUGGGAGCUGGAGGAGGUGGGUCACUGGGGAUGUGGCUAUGGAUCUGGAGAGUGGAAUCUCUCUGCUUCCUGACCACCAUGAUGUUCGGCCAUACCUCGAGCCCCAAGGAAUGGAGCUGGCCUUCUCUGGACUAAUAACUCUUGAG